GACGAACGUUGGCGGCGUGCUUAAUACAUGCAAGUCAACUGAAGCAGUGGUAGCAAUAUCGCUGUGGAGGUGGCGCACGGGUGAGUAACACGUAGGUAAUCUGCCUUCAGGUCUGGCAUAACUCCGGGAAACCGGGGCUAAUAGCAGAUGAUGCAGCGGCUCGACAUCGAGACAGUUGUUAAAGCUAUGGCGCCUGAAGAUGAGCCUGCGUCUGAUUAGCUAGUUGGCGGGGUAACGGCCCACCAAGGCAACGAUCAGUAGCUGGUCUGAGAGGAUGAUCAGCCACACUGGAACUGAGACACGGUCCAGACUCCUACGGGGGGCAGCAGUAAGGAAUAUUGCUCAAUGGGAGAAAUCCUGAAGCAGCAACGCCGCGUGAGGGACGAAGGGCUUUUGCUUGUAAACCUCUGUAGUGAGAGAAAAAAAUCCCAAUCUUUGGGACAUGAUGGUAUCUCAAAAGUAAGCCCCGGCUAACUACGUG
RNAcentral lists this ribosomal RNA (481 nucleotides) under uncultured bacterium. RNAcentral describes it as "partial 16S ribosomal RNA". It matches the Rfam family "Bacterial small subunit ribosomal RNA", at positions 28 to 507 of the family's 1533-position model. The record is from RNAcentral.